CAAUCUCCCUUCUCUCAACUUAUUAUCAAGUUCACUCACUUGGCUAAAAUGUGCCCUUUUGUGAAUAUUUUGGACUUACUUUAUUUCAAAGCCACUGUGUUUAAAUGUGCAUAUGAUGCAUGGGGUGUUUUUAUGCUUUGAUUUUGAUCCUUGUACGAGGUGGUCUCUUAUGCAAGCUAUACAUGCCACUGUGUUGCCUCUAGUGUCAACUUGAUGUAGUAGUGAAAUGGGGAAUAAAAUGUUUAUGCAUGUGUAGAACAAAAUGUAACACUACUCUUUGGACACUACAGUUUUGAUGAGGCUGUUGAAGAUGUUGUCUAUCCAAAAGGGGAUUCAGAUGCAGUUUCCAUUUGUAAGAGAGAUUUUGAUCUACUAC
RNAcentral lists this unclassified non-coding RNA (376 nucleotides) under Hevea brasiliensis (rubber tree). The record is from RNAcentral. Lineage: Eukaryota; Viridiplantae; Streptophyta; Magnoliopsida; Malpighiales; Euphorbiaceae.